GGACGUUAGGUUAUUUGCGUGCUACUUGCUUAUUGCUUCGUAGGUGGAAACUGGAAAAUAUCUGGCGUUUAUUUAUUCAAUUAUUUAGUGGUCAUAUUUUCAUUGAGAGUCGUCAAAUGGAGGUUCCUCGAAGCCGAGUGGAACUGUUACCACACGCCCACGGGGAGAAAUAUUUCUCUCGAUAUUCACCGCCUUGAAAAUGUAAUUUUUGUCUUUUUUAUGUUGGUGAUUUCAUCCGAAACAUCGAUAGAGUUUUCCCGCUUCACUCUCUGAAUUUUGAAAAAAUGGACCCGAUGGGUAUGAGAAAGUUUAGUACUGAAGAAAAGGAUAUAUUGUGCAAGCUAGUACAUAAUCAUAAAUGCCUUGAAAACAAGCGAAGCGAUGUCACAUCAGUGACAGCAAAAAAGAAAGCCUGGGAGCAAAUUGCGACGGAAUUCAAUGUGCAAGAAUUCGUGCAAAAGGUGAAGUUUAGGUUCAAUAAGGAUGCAUGAUAAAAUAUCGCCAGGUUUGUACGCAAUUUUAAUCAAUAGUUUUAUCGGUGGUUAGAACUAAAGUACCUAUCUGAAAUAAUUUUUGUCUAAUGGCCUAACUUCACACUACAGAAAGGUAUGUUUGUAAAUUAAUACUGCUUUUUUUCAAACAACAUGUGUAUGCUACUUGCUACUGGCGUUAAAACGUACACUCCUACAUGUAUGCCAGUUGAAAUUAUAAAAAUCGUUAGAUAAUUCAUCAUUUUACCAAUCAUUAUGUAUGACCCCAAGCCGUGACCAAUUAUUUUGCUAGUACACAACUGAAUUGAAUUAAACAUGUGUCGGGGUAAUUAUUCCAUAUCACAUAUCCAAGUUUACUUCUUGAUCUUUAUGGCAUGAUCAUGUGUUACACGAUGCUUGAGUGUGUUGAAAGAGCCUGAAGAUAACAAAAACCUGGGUGCCACACUACAAACAAUCUCGGGGUCUUGUGGGAAUAAUUUUCUUGAUGUGCAUUUUACUAUUACCAUUAUAAUGCUACAAGUUUGUUUUGUCCAGGUUCCUUCAGUGUACUAAAUUAAAACAAGCAUCAUGUACCACAGAUACAAUAUAUACGGUACAAGAUCAUUCCAUCUGGAUGAAAGAAUAAACUUUGAUAUUACACUGAACGUUUACUCAAUAAACUUUUAUUUAUUUGUUAUUAUUUCAGCUUUAACUUUUAACAAUUAAGUAUUAAGAAAGUUGGACACACUAAAAUAUCUAGUGCAUAUUUAAUGAAUUAAGGAAUUUAUGCUUAUUUUUUUUAUAGCGCACUUAGUUGCACUAAAAAUAAGAAGAUGAGGAGGGAGCUGGCUGCAGAAUCCCGGUACAGAAUGGGAACAGGGGGUGGACAUUUCAUCCUCAGCAAGCCUGCACUUGUUGCAGCAGUGCCUCACUUAACGGAAAAUCUUGGUUUUCUCUGGGACAGUGAUGCUGUUGCGGUGGAAGAGGCAGCUGCUGUCCCAGAGGAGACUGCUGUGGAAGCUGUGCCUCAUGAUCCAGCUCCUGCUACUUCAACUGCACCAGUCCCUCAGACUUCUGCCCAAGGCAACUAUUUUAAUAUUGUAUUGUGUCUGUUCUCAUACUUCAUUCAAAAGUAGCAAAAUGUCCAGUGUACUGACUGAAAACAUUUGAGAAAUUAGAAAAUGGUGGUUUGAGUACUAAUGAUGCUUGAUUGUCCUGCAGAACACAAUUUUUCAUUCCUAAAAGUAAAUGGUCAGGAUUAAUACAUUAAAAUGCCACAUAUUUUAUUUAUUUUAUUUAUUUAAUAUUUGUUGCGUGCCUACCUACAGCUUAUGGCCUUGGGUGGUAGGCACGAUAAAAACAACACUGAUACAUACAGACAGAACAAAACAAUACAAAAUACAAGACAACAAAAAAAAUACACACAACAUGCAACAUACAAUUAGUAAAUAAUUUCUUUACAAAUUUAUAAUGCAGGAAAAAAAACUAACUUGAAACAAUAUAAUUAUUAACCACAAAAAAAAAUUAAGUUAUGUAUAGUUGUAUUUUUUUUAAUUUUAUUGUGCUAUCUAAUACAGGAAUAACCUUGCAUAUUUACUGUAAUUUUUAGUGAUUCUGAAUAAUAGAUCAUUUGUUUUACUUAACGUACAAAUUAAAGAUUGCUUAUGACUAUUGAAAGUAGGUAUUCUAAUUCCAGUAUUGUGAAGAAAAUAAUUACAAUUAAUUGUAUUUUUGUAACAAUUGUGUACAAAUAAUGCAUCAUAUCAUAAUCAUGAUCCCCGAUGAACUAACACAUUGCUAAGGGUAGAUGGCAAAAUAGUUUGUGUUGGUUGAUUGUGCAAAAGCCACUUAUUGUAAGUGAUAACAAACAGAAUAUUGUACAAGUAAUGGGGAAAAGGAGGGAUAGUACAUAAUGUAGUAGUUAUCAACAUUAGGAAUGACUGACACCAUCAAUCUGAAGUCUGGAUACAAAAUUACACUUUAUAAUGCAUGUUUCAAUCAUAUUUGAUUAAUACUACACCCAAUUCAGACUGAACAUUUAUAUGCAUUAGUUGAAUUCUAUCUCAUUCGUGCACUUAGAAAUUAUAGGCUGAUGUAUAAUUUUAAAUAAUUAACAUUUAUGUGAUAGAAUCUUCAAACCCAAACCAUAAAGGUGAAUACUAAUUGGCAUAUCUCAAUAAACUUCUUAAUUUAGAGGCAAAUUUGUUAAACAUUAAUCUCGCAGCAGAUGAUUAUAUUUUGUUUCUCAUCCUCACUAAACAUAUUUGCAUUCUUUGUAUAGGUAUUUCAGAAGACCCAGCUUCAGACAGUUCUUGUGAGGAUGUUGCUCCUACUCUUCAGCCUCGAUGCUCUACUACAGCUGCUAAUUCACACAAAACCUUUAUUUUGUAUUUGGGUGUAUGAUUUUCAAGAAUCAAUUGCAUGCCAAAUAAUGUUAGGUACAGUAGAACCCCGAUUUUGCGAACACGGAUUUAACGAAAACAGCGAUUUAACGUAAAGGUUUUCAGGAACCAUCAAAAAAACACCAAUUUAUUAAAAUAAUAAUAUAGAUUUCCAAAAAAUGAAAGUAAAUAGUAAUGUAAUCUUAUUAAAAAUUACACUUUGUGGUGUCAGUAAUAGAAUGGAGGUACUAUAUAUUAAUAUGUGCCUUUGCAUCAUCUGUCCAAAUACGAAAAAAUUAAAACAAAUUGUUCAAAUUGCUUAAAAACUGCGGGCGCUGUAACUGAAUUGCAUAGGUGCGUGCCAUUGCGCGUGCCUGGAUAGAUAGACUGUCCGCGACACAUGACGUCAUGAGGGGUUUCUUUGUCCGCAUCCCCCUCCCCCUUCUCCAUCCUUGGCUUGACUCACCACGUUAUCUUCCAAACACGCCCGCAUAGUAACAGUGCUAGCCAAUAAUCACACGUUUCCAAAUAUUCCCUUUCCCAUCCUCCAGGUUUUUUCAACUUGUGACCACGUCACACCAAUACGCCAUUAUCAUUAUUCUCUAUAGGUGUAAAAGUAACGAAAAAAAGCGUCCCCGUAUGUAUUCGUUACUAUAACAAUUAGUACUCGUUACUAUCUUAUCACUUUAUAUUACUCGUUACUUCUGAUACCGCAUAACAUGCUAUGUUAUGUUGCAGCAACGAAUCGAGACGUAUUGCGUACACAUACAGUAUGACGUCGCGUAAGUAAUAAUAAAUAGAAUAUAAACAAUUAACAAUAUUUGAUAAUUAACAGUUUUUGUUAACCAAGAAACAAUUAAAUCUCAUUAGAGCGGCUUUUUUUAUACCAUCUCUUUUAAGAUAAGAACAAAAAAAACCGUGAAAAUACGCGAUAAUAAAAACAUAUUUCUAAUUUGUAAACAAUACUUUCUUACGUUGUUUCUGUUCCAAUCUCAAACUUUGUCUACACACACAAUACCUUUAAUAAACAGUAAAAAAACUUUGACGACGAAUUUCCAAAUUAUACUUUACUUAAUAAACAAACAUCGUUCUUUGUAACGCAAAUUCAUCGAAUAUGCGCGCGUAUGCGUAAAACAUACGAAAAAUGCGAGUAACGAGAUGCAGCCGUGUGUAACGUUUCGUUACUCGUUACUAGAUGGCGCACCUGUUACUCGGUACCGAAUACAUACGGUUUGCUACAGCUUUAUUAUUCUCAGUAAGAGCUUUGUGCGCGGUGUUUAGUUUUUGGAAUAUGUUUUUUAUAAGUGCUGCGCAGCUCAGCGAACAAAGAGUCAGCCGGCGGCUACGCCGCGCCGUAAUAGCAGCUGACCGAGUACAAUGACCUUUCUCCGCGUACGGCGCGCUAUCGACAGAAAUUUUCCAUCAAUUUGCGGCCAAUUUUUUUUAUUUUUUACUGUGACGCAAUGUGUAUGUAGCUCGUAUUUGUUAUAAACGCUGCAGGUUGCGACUGUAUUUUAAUACACUUUAACGUAUUUCUUACACUUUACAUAUUUUUAAACUUUUAUUUUAUGCCUCAUUUUUUAAGGUUUCUGAAAAUCUGUAUGUACGACCGAAGUGUACGUACGAACCGGGGGCCGUACGAGCGAGAUUAAAAGACGUUGAAGAUGUAAAGUUGACGAAGUCUGAGAUAGCACGGCAGCACAAGAUAUCAGCGUCGACCCUGUCUACGAUAUGGAAACGGUAGGGACGCGAUUAUGAGUGCGGGGGUCAUUGAAAAUCGGAAAAUCGGAUUUAACGAAACAUCGAUUUAGAGUAAACAUUUUCGGUAACCAUAGCACUUCGUUAAAUCGGGGUUCUACUGUAUAUUAUUAUUAAGUAAUAUAUUACAUACAAAGCAGACAAUUGUAUUGUUGCUUUAAGAAUUUCAUGUUUGUAUUAACUAUGGUAAUUAAAACCCAACAACUUAUUCGUAGCAGA
Long non-coding RNA from Bacillus rossius redtenbacheri, 4828 nucleotides. RefSeq lists it as uncharacterized. Lineage: Eukaryota; Metazoa; Arthropoda; Insecta; Phasmatodea; Bacillidae. The record is from RefSeq and is a predicted model, not a curated record. The transcript has 2 exons.